Molecule: unclassified non-coding RNA, 413 nt
Filed under: soil metagenome
Description: partial contains 5.8S ribosomal RNA, internal transcribed spacer 2, and large subunit ribosomal RNA
Rfam family: 5.8S ribosomal RNA (bases 1-120)
Source: RNAcentral
GAUGAAGAACGCAGCGAAAUGCGAUAAGUAAUGUGAAUUGCAGAAUUCAGUGAAUCAUCGAAUCUUUGAACGCACCUUGCGCUCUUUGGUAUUCCGAAGAGCAUGCCUGUUUGAGUGUCAUGAAAAUAUCAACCUUGACUUGGGUUUUGUGCUCUAGUCUCGGCUUGGAAUUGGGUGCUUGCCGCUUUUACGAGCGGCUCACCUUAAAUGUAUUAGCUGGAUCUGUCUUUGAGACUUGGUUUGACUUGGCGUAAUAAGUAUUUCGCUAAGGACAUUCUUCGGAGUGGCCUCGUUUCUAGGACGCUUGUCCGCUUUCCAAUCCAAGUUCCACCUCGUGGACAUGACUUUUUAUUAUCUGGCCUCAAAUCAGGUAGGACUACCCGCUGAACUUAAGCAUAUCAAUAAGCGGAGGA